UUUAAAUGGCCGCAGUAUAUUAACUGUGCAAAGGUAGCAUAAUCAUUAGUCUUUUAAUUGAAGGCUGGUAUGAAUGGUUGAACGAAAUAUUAACUGUUUCAUAAAAAUUUAUAUUAGAAUUUUAUUUUUUAGUCAAAAAGCUAAAAUAAAUUUAAAAGACGAGAAGACCCUAUAAAUCUUUAUAUUUAAUUUAUUAUAAUUUUAUAAAAUUUUUAAUUUAUAAUAAAUAAUAAUAUUUUAUUGGGGUGAUAUUAAAAUUUAAAAAACUUUUAAUUAUUAAAAUCAUUAAUUUAUGAAUAAUUGAUCCGUUAUUAACGAUUAAAAAAAUAAGUUACCUUAGGGAUAACAGCGUAAUUUUUUUGAAGAGUUCAUAUCGAUAAAAAAGAUUGCGACCUCGAUGUUGGAUUAAGAUAUAAUUUUAGGUGUAGCCGCUUAAAUUUUAAGUCUGUUCGACUUUUAA
This 460-nucleotide ribosomal RNA is filed under the name Chylizosoma vittatum. Its description in RNAcentral is "partial 16S ribosomal RNA". The stretch from base 342 to 460 matches the Rfam family "Bacterial large subunit ribosomal RNA", at positions 2473 to 2591 of the family's 2925-position model. Lineage: Eukaryota; Metazoa; Arthropoda; Insecta; Diptera; Scathophagidae. The record is from RNAcentral.